GUUGUUGGAAGAAUUUGAGUUGCUUUGUCUUCAGUUUUCUUUGUUAAGUUUUGUAUACAGAUGUUUGUCUUUUGAGUUGUUUUUUUUUUUGGUCAUUACGUUUUCAAUUUAUUUUUGUUUAAAUAUCCCUUCGGUGUAUUUCGCCUCUCGUUUUAUGUUAAAUGAUUUUUUUUAAAGAUAGAGUUAUACUGAUGUUUAAGGAUGUUUUGUUUUACUUUUUGCCAGAUUUUCAGAAUCCUCUGGUUUUAUCCAUGUAUUGUCAUUAAAAAAAUUUGCCCACUAACCCCUUCUUUUUUUUCAUAAUUUUAUUACAUACAGUUUAAGAAGCCAUCUUUAAAAAAAUUAUAAAAUUCUUGUUAUUUUUUCAUAGUUUUUGAAACGAAUAAGGUGCCAAUGUUAAAAAUAUGACAAAUAUAGAGAGAAUUAUUUCCCGCCAAAUUUUCAAUGACUUAUAUCUCGAAAACGAGCACAGGG
Molecule: long non-coding RNA, 474 nt
Filed under: Mytilus galloprovincialis (Mediterranean mussel)
Lineage: Eukaryota; Metazoa; Mollusca; Bivalvia; Mytilida; Mytilidae
Source: RNAcentral